GCUUAAAAUCUACCAAAUAAGUCUUAAGUCUCACUAAUUGAACAAAAUAAAUAAGUAGAAUAGGAAUUGGCAUUCGGGUCUUCGGAUCGGAUAAGAGUCGGGUUUUUUUCUGGUCGGGUCCGUUAAAUCCUAAAUAUUAUAACUCAACUAAAUAUCUGAAACUUUUCUAUCUGAGUUUGGGUCAAUUCCUUCCAAGGUUGGGUUGGUUUGGGUCCAUAAUUCAAAUACUUACAAAAAUACAUGUAAAUUUUGGGUACAUAGCAGGUCCGGGUCGAUUCUGGUUUAGAACCCAAAAGACUCGAAGUACUCAAAAUCCCAGAAAAAUCCAAAACCCGAAAUAUAUAAAAAAUACCCGAUAAUAUUCAAAUAGCCGAAAAGACCAGAAAUUUUACCCGAAAAAUCGAAAAUACCCAAAGUUUAAUCUAUAUACCCAAAAUAAUAUAUUUUAAGAAAUUUGAAAAAUUAACCUAAAAGCCGAAAUUAUAACCGAAAACCAGAACAUGAAACUUAAGAGGAUAUAGUAAUAUCGAAAACAUAUUUGAAAUAUCUAAAAAUGCCUAAUAUGCACAUAAUAUUUCGGGUACUUAGAGUAUCCGAUAUGGUCUCCAGUAGGAUGUGGACUUGAACCAAGAACGUGGGUCCAAUAAAUACCGAACAUGUAUUUAUCUAUGGAUCCAAAUCAAACCUGUGUUUUCUGGUCGGUUUUUGGAUCCAGAUAAAUGUCCAAAUUUAAGAGAGAGUUAUGUAAAAACGUACAUAUAAAAUCUUAAAUAAUCUAAUUCAUAAAUUACAUAAUUUAAAACAAAUUCUCUACUUUGUUAUAAUACAAAUUACUAACAAUUCUUUCAAAAUAUUAAUUCAUAUCAAACUUUGUUUAUAAUCUACAGAAAACCCGCGCGCGAGUCAAAAUCUAGUGACUUAUAUUAAAUUUUAAUUACUAGACUAAAAAUGGGAUAGGAGCAAAUUUACUAAAAGCCAAUCUCUAACUUAAUUAACCACAAGUUUCCAUUCUAAUAAAUCAAAAAAAAUUGGAAAAUAUAGGUUAACCAUUUUAAAAAAGGAAUUGACGACAAAAAACAAUCAGAAAAGAAGAAAAGAGUUUGUGGUGUCUCUGCAACUCUCUCACAAGACAUCGACGAAACAGAAGGUGGAGCCUUCUCCGUUUAAGAGUUGUCGUCGCUCCUAUCCCACUCCGACAACAUCUCCUCCGUCACAGCCGCCGUAGAUUUCGACACCUCCUCGUCAAGUCGCCAUCGCCCCUGUUGUGUGAACCCUAGGUCUGAUUUGUCUUCCGUUUUAGAUCAACGAAAUUGAACUGAUAACGUUUACACCGACGAUCCAGCACUGUAGAAUGGCAUCUAUAAUUGGUCUGUGUUUGAGAGCUAAGCUUAAAGAAUGCUUGCCCCUCCAUUAUCAAGUCAACUAUGCUCUUAAGUAAAAAGAGAGAUUUUUUCAAUGGUCAUUUGCUAUAUAUGUAUGAUUGUUACUGUUUCCUUUUACUCAUGUUCAAGUUGAUAUCAGAGUGUAUCCCGGUUCUCAUGCCGAUGAACAGCUGAAUGAUAAAGAAAGACUUGGUAGCUGCAUUGGAGAAUCCUAAUCUCCGUCAGCUUGUGGAUGAGUUUAUCUAAUCAAGUGAGAUGUUCAGAGCAUUUUACUUUUACUCUCUUGUACAAUUUUCACAUUUGGGAUUGUAUUGUAUGCCUAGGAGACCGCUCUUUGUCUAUUGUUGUAUUGCUAAUAUUACUCUACACGCUUGAACGUUGUAUACUGCUUUGAUUUGAUAAUGUUACAAACCUUUUUCUUCA
Long non-coding RNA from Brassica napus (rape), 1805 nucleotides. RefSeq lists it as uncharacterized. The transcript has 2 exons. Lineage: Eukaryota; Viridiplantae; Streptophyta; Magnoliopsida; Brassicales; Brassicaceae. The record is from RefSeq and is a predicted model, not a curated record.